GGGAGUGCUGCACAGCGUGAGGUAAUACAGUAGGGGGAGUGCUGCUCAGCGUGUGGUAAUACAGUAGGGGGAGUGCUGCUCAGCGUGAGGUAAUACAGUAGGGGGAGUGCUGCUCAGCGUGAGGUAAUACAGUAGGGGGAGUGCUGCUCAGCGUGAGGUAAUAUAGUAGAGGGAGUGCUGCUCAGCGUGAGGUAAUACAGUAGGGGGAGUGCUGCUCAGCGUGAGGUAAUACAGUAGGGGGAGUGCUGCUCAGCGUGAGGUAAUACAGUAGGGGGAGUGCUGCUCAGCGUGAGGUAAUACAAGAACGUACUCGGAGAAUGAGAGUCAGUCUGUGUGUCAGUCUGUGUGUCAGUCUAUGUGUCAGUCUGUGUGUCAGUCUGUGUGUCAGUCUGUGUGUCAGUCUGUGUGUCAGUCUGUGUGUCUGUCUGUGUGUCAGUCUGUGUGUCAGUCU
Molecule: long non-coding RNA, 451 nt
Organism: Oncorhynchus tshawytscha (Chinook salmon)
Lineage: Eukaryota; Metazoa; Chordata; Actinopteri; Salmoniformes; Salmonidae
Source: Ensembl